UAAACGACACUCGGCAACGGAUAUCUCGGCUCAUGCAUCGAUGAAGAACGUAGCAAAAUGCGAUACUUGGUGUGAAUUGCAGAAUCCCGUGAACCAUCGAGUUUUUGAACGCAAGUUGCGCCCGAAGCCUUCUGGUUGAGGGCACGUCUGCCUGGGCGUCACGC
Molecule: ribosomal RNA, 164 nt
Filed under: Dubautia imbricata subsp. imbricata
Lineage: Eukaryota; Viridiplantae; Streptophyta; Magnoliopsida; Asterales; Asteraceae
Description: 5.8S ribosomal RNA
Rfam family: 5.8S ribosomal RNA
About the family: 5.8S ribosomal RNA (5.8S rRNA) is a component of the large subunit of the eukaryotic ribosome. It is transcribed by RNA polymerase I as part of the 45S precursor that also contains 18S and 28S rRNA.
Source: RNAcentral